AUGAGAGUGACCAUCUCUUGAGCAUUCCCUGUUGCAUCUCCUUUAGUUGCACAGCAACCCUGCGAGGAGCUAUUCUUGGUCAUUCCCAUUUUACAGACGAGGAAGCUGAGACCAGAGGGGUAAGUGGCUUGUCAAGGUCACCCAGCUCAUCAGCCAAUGGCACGGCCUCGGAGUCCAGGGCUUCUGAUGCCUGCUGCGAAUGCGCUGCUGCUGGACCACAGCGGGAAAUUUUACGUGGGUCAAAAUUUGGCAGACAAGGCUCAGCUCCCAAGGCCCACCCAGCCAGUGGGUGCAGAGGGACAGUACGAAUUCUGCUACAAAGUGGUACAAGAUUUUACUGAUAUAUUUUCAGAUUAUGCGAAUUUCACAUGAAGAUUCCUGCCUUAAAAUAUUUUUUUAUUUUAAUGGUCAGUGUAUUUGUAAAAAUCAUGUUAAUUAAUUUUGUUGUUGACAUUAAUAUUCAACCUAAUUUCUUUCUAUAUAUUUUGUUACGUCUUAAAGGUCACGCGCUAUAAAAUGAUUACGUUCUUUCACUG
Molecule: long non-coding RNA, 536 nt
Filed under: Dasypus novemcinctus (nine-banded armadillo)
Lineage: Eukaryota; Metazoa; Chordata; Mammalia; Cingulata; Dasypodidae
Description: lncRNA (ENSDNOG00000051277.1)
Source: RNAcentral